GUCUGCUUGAAGAUAUAAGGAGUCUAGCCUGCUCUCUGAUUAGUUUAAGGGCCGCGGUAAUUUGACCGUGCAAAGGUAGCAUAAUAGUUAGUUUUUUAAUUGGAAUCUUGUAUGAAUGGUUGGACAAAAGAAAUACUGUCUCUGUAAUUGUUAUUGAAUUUAACUUUUGAGUGAAAAGGCUUAAAUUGUUUAAAAAGACGAUAAGACCCUAUAAAUCUUUAUAAAUAAAUUCUGUUUAAUUAAAUUAAAAGUAAAGGUUCAGUAGUUUUUUUUAUUUUAUUGGGGAGACAAAUAUUAUAAUUUAUAGUAACUGUGAGUAAAAAAAACAAAUAUAAAUGUUUUAAUAAGUAAAUGAUCCUAUUUAAAGAUUAAAAGUUUAAGUUACUUUAGGGAUAACAGCGUUAUUUUUCUUGAGAGUUCAUAUCGAAAGAAAAGAUUGCGACCUCGAUGUUGAAUUAAAAUUUCUAGGUGAUUGUAGAAGUUGCCUUAGAAGGUCUGUUCGACCUUUAAAUUUUUACAUGAUUUGAGUUCAGACCGGCGUGAGCCAGGUUGGUUUCUAUCUUUUAAUAAGGUGAAAAUUAUUUUAGUACGAAAGGAUUGAAUAAUUGAAUUUUUUUUUAUAUUGGCAAGCUAUUUUGGCAGAGGAUAUGCGUUGGA
RNAcentral lists this ribosomal RNA (657 nucleotides) under Pinnixulala valerii. RNAcentral describes it as "Pinnixa valerii partial 16S ribosomal RNA". It matches the Rfam family "Bacterial large subunit ribosomal RNA", at positions 1832 to 2775 of the family's 2925-position model. Lineage: Eukaryota; Metazoa; Arthropoda; Malacostraca; Decapoda; Pinnotheridae. The record is from RNAcentral.